GAAUGUAUUAUAAAACCCCUGACAUAAAAUACAAGAUAGAAAAGCAGAAAGCAAAACACAACAUAACACUUUCAUGAUUCAACAAAAUUACAAACAGAGGUCUACGGCCAAAACGUCUACAAAAGACCAGUUCUUAAAAAUGAAUUGUCCUACGACCUACAAGUCGGACACGUUCUCCAAUCCUCAUGAUUUCACAUCUGCAACUCCUCAAGAUCAACCAAAGCUAUCUAGCUUCUCCGUCCACCAGGAACCUGAAAUUUUAAUCCUCAAACCGGGAUGAGACAAUGUCUCAGCAAGUUCAACCCCCUAAACCCCUAUUAGAAAGAAAAUACGCCCAAGGGUGGCCUAACCACGUCACACAAAGAAUUUACCUCGCCUCAAUUCCUUCCUGCAGGUUAGCACAAUUUGUAUCACACAAUCUUAGGUAGUAAUAAUAAUUCAAACAAUUGGAACGCCAUCACUUUCAUAUAAAUUACAAUCGCACUUAGCACACAUUCCAAUUAUUAUUCACCGCCACACAAGGGCAUAGCCUACUCGCAGUUCGGCUAUCUACUGACACAUAGCCAGGCAUCGCCUCCCUACCUUGGAGUGCGGCUUCGUCAGUACAUCGACGGCGUUCCCGAAGGAGCAUGGGCCUAGAAUCAACUGCGACGCACAUCCACCGCGUGAGCAUCCCAUAUAGGGGCAAGUCUGGCUCAACAGCCCAGGACGAUUCCUCUUAGUUAUCACACAGCCAAAGCAUACUUGGCCCCAUGACACUUUAUAUUUCACUCAAUGCUUCCACUUAAGACAGUGAUCCCGGCCAUUUUUCUUCAUAUUAAAAAUAUUCCAGAAAUUACUCACGUGUGUGAGGACAUGCUAAUUUCGAAUCAAAAAGCCAAUAUCUCACUUUUUUUCAAACCCCACUAUUUAAUAUAAUCAUUAAAAUCCAAUUUUUGCAUCAAAACUUGACACUUGGGUUUUUAUGAAUAAAAUCAUUAUUUACCACAAUCAACACUUAAUUUGCCACAUCCAUUCAUCAAAUUCAAAUUCUAAAUGCACAACAACGAUCAGCACGAAAUUCUG
RNAcentral lists this long non-coding RNA (1065 nucleotides) under Eucalyptus grandis. RNAcentral describes it as "long non-coding RNA (EGRA_LNC007233)". The record is from RNAcentral. Lineage: Eukaryota; Viridiplantae; Streptophyta; Magnoliopsida; Myrtales; Myrtaceae.